Hydractinia symbiolongicarpus is the source of this 2897-nucleotide long non-coding RNA. RefSeq lists it as uncharacterized. Lineage: Eukaryota; Metazoa; Cnidaria; Hydrozoa; Anthoathecata; Hydractiniidae. The record is from RefSeq and is a predicted model, not a curated record. The transcript is spliced from 2 exons.
GGGGCUAAUGUAAUAAACUGACAUAUGUAAAUAAAUAUGAGGUGCAGUGUAGGUCUUAAAGGUUAUACUAGUGUAUUAAAAGUGUUUCUUUGAAAGCAGUUCUUUUGUUGCGUUUUCCGUUUUGUACUACAAGUAGCAAAGUUUUUUUCCGUAGAAUUUCUUAUUUGUUUUAGAGCGGCAUAAUGGAUUAGAAUAUUCUAGAAAUAUAACUAUGCUGUAUGUGUAUGGAAAUUUAUUCUAUCUACUGUUAAAAUGUUCUCGAGGCUAUAACACUAGUUUUGAGUUGCAACUACAGGCGUUCCCCGAAUUUAAGUUUUUAAAACAGUAGUUAAAUAGAUCUUCAGUAGUUGAACGUACCUCAGCUUAGUUCACUUAUUUUAUUUAUUUCUUCUCUGAUAAUCAAGAUAUACUUAAUUCUUCUCCAAUCAGAAUGAGGAAAUUAAUAUGGGUGCUCUUAUUGGUUCUCUUACUUUGUGAAAUAAACAAUCAAUUUGCAGACGGAAAACGUGGAAAGCAUAAUCAGCGACACCAUGUUGCACAUAGACGAAAAUACGCACCACCACGGGCAGGUCCUAGUAAUUGUCGUUAUGUAAAACGAUGGAGAUCGAUUAAAAUUGGCCAUUAUCAUUUUGUGCGUCCGUAUUAUGUUCGUAUCUGUCAACAUGGUUAAUGACAAACAUUUAUUUUUAGUUUAUAAAAUUUUAGGAUAUUGACUGACGUUUCUUGAUUAUUUGCCCGCAUAGCGUUCUUCAUCUGUUUUUUAUUUUCUGUGUGUUAAAGCGGUCUUUCUUCAACAACUUCUCACUUCUAUUCUAAUAUAUCUUGUUGUUUCUUAUUUUUUCUCUGGGAAAAAUUAGUUUAUCGAUUUACUUCCCGCUUUGUUGUAAUUUUAACGAUAUAGGCAUGAUUUGACAUAUAACCAUAACACAUAUAACACGCGCCUUUAUGUGACCAAGGGUCAAGCUGCUACAGCUACAAUUGUGCACCUACAAAUUUGCCAGUCUUUAAAAGAAUAUAUUUUUAUAAGUCCCCGUUAUAUCUUCAGUAAAAACAACUUCAAGAAUUUUAAAUUCUCUGUUCCAAAAAAGUUUUUGUAUUAAGAUAUGAGCAACAAUCGUUGUUGUUCAGGGACUUGAAUACAUUUAAAAUAUUUUUGCCAAGGUUCACACUAAACAUCGAGCGCAACAAAGGCAGAAGUUAUUCCUAAGUAUAUAUUGCAAAAAUUUGUGUUUCCACACUUCCACUUUGUAUUUUACAAUAGAUCAUCAAUUAUUUCGUGUUAAUAAAAUACAGUAAGGUAGUUGAUGGGCUAGGAUAGUUUUAAGUCAAGAGAGAUUCGAACAACCGCGUACCCAAAUAAAGUCACUAACUACGCUACCACUAUAUACUUGACCUGGCACCUUGACAUAUUAGAAAUGUUUGCCAACAUCAAAAUUUUAAACUAUUGCAUACCUUGCUUGAUAGAAUGACAUUGAAUUUUUUCGCUAUUUUGUUCUCCAUGCCAUUUCAAUUCAGUCGUCAUUGCAUCGUUUUUACGCCAUAGAUAUUAAUAAUAACCAAACACCAACGUUUGUUAAAGUUGUAAAAUUUUAUCGCAGAUCUUGCUUCAAGUAUGGUCAAACUUCGGUAAGACUUUCAAGAGCUUAAUCCUUAAAAAUUCAAGAUGGUAAGGUCAUGUAAUACACAGCAUUAAGAUUACGUAUGAGCUACAGCUCUGACCUAAAUAUUAGAACCAUGGCAACUUUUUUGGCCGUUUACAAAGUUGGGAAGAAGCAUGAGCUUGAUCUAGGUCGACAAUAGUUUGCAAUUAAAAAUUUUGUCUGUUUGAUACCAUUUUAAAUUUAAAAUUUAAAGCAUAUCCCACAUUUUUUCCAUGACAUUAUGAUAUUUGUAAAGUGAUUUUCUAUCUAUAUUACAAUGCCCGUAUACGCUUGUCAGUCUGUCCGUCUGUCACGCAAAAUGGUAGCUUAGCUGCGACGGGAGAACCCGUGGUUUUUUUCCACGGGCUAACGACUAGUAUGCUUAUUUUUCUGAAGAAAAAAUAGCAGAAAAAGAAAAGUAACCCAACAAAAUAAGUAACAUAAGUAAGGUUGGGAUGAAAGUUACCCGUUGUAUAAAGAUGUCAUGAAGACCACAUGUGUCUAUGAAACCUGAUAGACAUUUAAAGACUGGACUUUCAGUUUAUUAGACCCUGACGUUGCUACUUUCUGGUUAAUAUGUAUUGUGUGUUUAUUGAUUUCUCUAAGGAGAGUAUCCUCAGAUUUACGAAAGAUGAAAAGAUGUGUCGAUAAAGAAAACAAGUUACUUUCGUGACGUAAAUUUCUUUUUUUUAUCUUAUCGUAUCUUUUCAGAUUCCCUCUUGUAUUAUUCGAUGAUUAAACUAAAUUACUUCUCAACAUUUUUGUGGGAUGUGAAACUCUGUUUAUCAAAUAUAUAUGCUUAAUCAUUGUUUUGUAAGUUUAUUAACUAUAGUCUCUAAAUUCGUCGAGUGAAGAGAUAUAAUCAAAUCACACUUUCGUUGUAUCUCAAUCGAAAUGAAGAAAUUGAUUUAUUUGUGCUUGAUGCUACUUCUACUUCUUCUUGUUUGUGAAAUCAACAACAACUUCAUAGAUGGAAAACACAGAAGACAUAUUCGCAAACAUCACUUAUCCCAACGGAGAUCAACAUUAACAGUCCUCCCACGGGCUCGACGAAAACAUUGUUAUUACGCAAGGCGAUGGAGAGUGUAUCGAUAUGGCAGAUAUGUUUUUCGACGCCCCUAUGUUGUGCGUGUUUGCGCAUAGGACUAACGACACUAGUAACUUUUUUGUAUUACAACUUUAUGUAUUGUUAUAGGAAAUGUGAAAUAUUAUUGAGUUACAUUGAAAACAUAACUUUCCGAAUAUUUUCUCUAACAA